GCAUAUCAAUAAGCGGAGGAAAAGAAAAUAACAAUGAUUCCCCUAGUAACUGCGAGUGAAGAGGGACAAGCUCAAAUUUUAAAUCCGUCGGGUUACACCUGACCGAGUUGUAAUUUGAAGAGGCGUUUUCCGCGUUUUUGAUCAGUCCAAGUCCUUUGGGAUAGGGCAUCAUGGAGGGUGAGAAUCCCGUUCGGCUGAUCAGAUUCGCUUUACGAUACGUCAUCUAAGAGUCAAGUUGUCUGGGAAUGCAGCUUAAAAUGGGAGGUAAAUUUCUCCUAAGGCUAAAUAACGGCGAGAGACCGAUAGCGAACAAGUACCGUGAGGGAAAGAUGAAAAGAACUUUGAAAAGAGAGUUAAACAGUACGUGAAAUUGUUGAAAGGGAAACGAUUGAAGCCAGUCGUACCGGUGGGUAAUCAGCCUUUCGGCGUGAUUAUGUGGAGCGUGAGGAGUUAAACGCCCUCAUGGCCUGAAUAUUCGUGUUCUUUGGGUGUACUUACCCGCAUGGUAGGUUAACAUCAAUUUCGAACGUCAUAAAAUGGUUGGAGGAAUGUAGCUUCGAUCUCGUAUUGAAGUGUUAUAGACUCCGGCAGAUGUGAUGAUCGGGAUUGAGGAUUGCAACGGAUACCCUUCGGGGCUACCCGUCUGAUCUCUGAAAGUUGCUCUGGUGCCGAAAGCUCGCUUACGGUCAUCAAAGUUGACGUUCAACAGGUUAGAACGGGAUAAAUUCGUUAAGGAUGUUGACGUAAUGGCUUUAAACGAC
This 761-nucleotide ribosomal RNA is filed under the name uncultured Glomus. RNAcentral's name for it is "eukaryotic LSU rRNA". It matches the Rfam family "Eukaryotic large subunit ribosomal RNA", at positions 38 to 648 of the family's 3401-position model. The record is from RNAcentral. Lineage: Eukaryota; Fungi; Glomeromycota; Glomeromycetes; Glomerales; Glomeraceae.